Molecule: ribosomal RNA, 253 nt
Filed under: uncultured prokaryote
Description: partial 16S ribosomal RNA
Rfam family: Bacterial small subunit ribosomal RNA
Source: RNAcentral
ACGGAGGGUGCGAGCGUUGUCCGGAAUCACUGGGCGUAAAGGGCGCGUAGGUGGCACGGUAAGCGUGUGGUGAAAGCUCGGGGCUCAACCCCGAGUCGGCCAUGCGAACUGCUGCGCUUGAGCACUGUAGAGGCAGACGGAAUUCCGGGUGUAGCGGUGGAAUGCGUAGAGAUCCGGAAGAACACCGGUGGCGAAGGCAGCCCCCUGGGUCAAAACUGACGCUCAUGCACGAAAGCGUGGGGAGCAAACAGGA